GGGAUAGAAUUCCAGGAGUAGCGGUGAAAUGCGUAGAUAUCUGGAGGAAUACCAAAGGCGAAGGCAGUCCCCUGGUCCGAUACUGACACUGAGGUACGAAAGCGUGGGGAGCAAACAGGAUUAGAUACCCUGGUAGUCCACGCCCUAAACGAUGUCGAUUAGCCAUUGGAAGGACCCCUUUUCCUUUCAGUGACGUAGCUAACGCGUUAAAUCGACCGCCUGGGAAGUACGACCGCAAGGUUAAAACUCAAAGGAAUUGACGGGGACCUGAACAAGCGGUGAAUGAUGUGGAUUAAUUCGAUGCUACGCGAAGAACCUUACCUACCUUUGACAUGGCCAGAGUUCUACCGAGAGGCGGAAGUACUCGUAAGAGGAUUGGCGCACAGGUGCUGCAUGGUUGUCGUCAGUUCGUGUCGUGAGAUGUUGGGUUCAGUCCCGCAACGAACGCAACCCUUAUCUUUAAUUGCUCCUAUUUUAACAGGCACUUUAAAGAAACUGCCAAUGAUAAGUUGGAGGAAGGUGGGGAUCACGUCAAGUCCGCAUGGCCUCUAUAGGUAGGGCUUCACACGUCAUACAAUGGUUAGAACAAAGAGCUGCAAAUUCGUAAGAAGGAGCCAAUCUCACAAACCUAACCUCAGUUCGAAUUGCGGUCUGCAACUCGAGCGCAUGAAGCCGGAAUCGCUAGUAAUCGUGGAUCAGAAUGCCACGGUGAAUACGUUCUUAGGUCUU
RNAcentral lists this ribosomal RNA (729 nucleotides) under Candidatus Tremblayella phenacoccinincola. RNAcentral's name for it is "bacterial SSU rRNA". It matches the Rfam family "Bacterial small subunit ribosomal RNA", at positions 658 to 1382 of the family's 1533-position model. The record is from RNAcentral. Lineage: Bacteria; Pseudomonadati; Pseudomonadota; Betaproteobacteria.